This 384-nucleotide ribosomal RNA is filed under the name uncultured eukaryote. RNAcentral's name for it is "SSU rRNA". It matches the Rfam family "Eukaryotic small subunit ribosomal RNA", at positions 587 to 985 of the family's 1831-position model. The record is from RNAcentral.
AGCUCCAAUAGCGUAUACUAAUGUUGUUGCAGUUAAAAAGCUCGUAGUCGGAUUUCAGCUAAUUUUGUAUGAUCAACUAUAGAGAUUACAGAAUCAGUUUUUUGAUGCGAAACUUCAUCUGAUUAAUUUCUGGUGUAUGUCAAGCAUCUCUUUUACUUUGAGAAAAUUAGAGUGUUCAAAGCAGGUUUUUGCCUGAAUAUUACUCUUGGAAUAAUAUUAUAGGACUUUUGGUUCAAUGUUGUUGGUGUUGUUGGACCGGAGUAAUGAUUGAUAGGGACGGUUGGGGUGAUUCAUAUUGCAAAGCGAGAGGUGGAAUUCUUGGACCUUUGUAGGAUGAACAACUGCGAAAGCAUUUCACUAGGACGUUCCCGUUGAUCAAGAACG